AACAGGACAUCCGUCAAAGCGGUGAGGCUGCAUCGGGCUCUGAGCAGACCGGCCACCAUGUCCAGCGCCGCUGUCUCCUCUUUCUCCGUUUCCCCGUUGCGACGGUGCUCGGCCACCAUCUGGCCUCCCUGGUGUGGUGGUUUGGUGCUGCUGCCCUUCGCCUCCCGCUUGUCCUUUUCUUCCCCAAUUUCUCGCCUCUCCCUUGCACGGUGGCACUCCAUCGGACCUCUCUCCCCAAACCUUCCGGUAGCACACAAUCUGGACGGACGGCUCCCCCACCAAAUCCUCGCUCCCACCCCCGCGGAGGCCGCCCCCUCUUCUCCCUCCUUUGACUGCCGGGGUACCUACCGAUGUAGUCGCGCGGCAGACCCUCCUUUUCCUCCCGAUGCGGUUGGUGGCGCGGAGGAGGACCUGGGCGGCCUCUUUUCCCUCCCAAGGCGGCACGGAUUUGGGACGAGCCAACGCGGCCGGUGAUCCAUCAGGAGCACCUGAGCGGCCUCUUCUCCCUCCCAAGGCGGACAGGCGGCGCUGCUUGGGCGACGAUGUAGAGGCGGCCGGGGCUUGACCGAAAAGCUUCUGGUGAGGUGCAGCAUGUGUGGUCGCCUUGACAGCCGGGAGCAUACGAGAGUACUAGCGCCAGUGGAGAACAUCAGGGGAGGAGCGGCGGAUUUAGGUGGAGCAGGCCGGGAAGAGCUGCUGGCGAGGUGCGGCCGAUGUGGUCGCGGUUGUCCGUGUCGAGCUGCGGCCGCCGCGGGAGCAGAGGGGAGUACUGGCACCGGAGAGUAGCAACAGUGGAGGAGCGACGCCGAUGAGGCGGCUGCGAUUAGAGGCGGAGCACGCUCUGCAUCGGCAACUGAUGGAACUGCGAUGCCGCGGGGAUUGGGGACUCGAAGUGCGACAUGGAUAUCGCAAGUAUUGAGGACUCGAAGUGCGACAUGUAGCGGCGGUCGUCGGGGUGGCCGGGACAAAUUCUUCCUCGCCCAGGCUCUCCCUGACCGAGCUCCUCGGCGUCCGGUGGCUGUUGUAACGUGGUGGGUCAGUUUCUGUUCUGGUGUCGCGGCCGUCACCGAGGUGUGGGCCUCUUGACGACCAGCAGUGUUGCCUGCUCCGCAUCUUGGAGUGCGGCGUUGCUGGAAGCCUCCCCGCCGCCACCUGGAAGACGACCAGGGCGUUUAUACACUUUUUAUGAACAGAUUGAAAAUUAUAUCAGGAUUUUGAUUUUGUUUUGGUUACUGCUCUACAGGAGUUUCGAAACUGGUUGAAUCCUUGGGCGAUGGAGGCCGUGCGAUGCACAUGGCCGCACUUGAGAUCAGGUUGCUAGCCGCAGAUGGGCGUGGAGGCAGAUAGGGAGUUAGCAAGUAGCAGGAAGAACCAUGACAAGCUGCAGGGCGGAGCCCUUCCUGAUGAAGGUUUUUGAUGCACUAGCGUUAUGAAGUUCUGAAUUUUGGUUUGGCGUGCUUUCUUCAAUGGUACUCUGUAGGUUUUAGAUUGCAACAUGGUGAAGGAGCAUACGUGGAUCACCCGAUUCACCUACAUAUGGCUUUAGUAGGCAACCAUUUAAUAUCUGUGGUAACAUAGCUUUUUAUAUAGAUUUUUGUAUUAAUGGGGUUUAGGUAGACUUUUUUCAUAGAAGGGUAAACUGAAAUCUUAACAUCUUUUAACAUAUGUGGUAGCAUAGCCUUUUUUUGUCUAGAUUUGUAGAACGAUAUAACUGAAAUCUAAGCUGAUCAUAUGUAUUCAAAGGCCAGUAAAGAGUAUUCUGCACCGUCUUUUUCGUUUAUCUUGAAUUUUCGUCUUGCUCUGAAAUACGCGAAAAUCUAUUCAUAAAGUAUUUUAUCUUCUUGGUCAUGUCAUCAUGUGUAGUAAUAUUUACAUUUGGGUGCAAGGAAGUAUUAUCAGUGUUUACCAUCUGUUUUUGGCCUCAUUGACGCUACUCAAUACUGACCAGGCUAAUUAAAUAGACAAGCACAAAUAUCAUUAACCUCAAUGUUACUCUAUGAAAUAAAACUUAAUAUUGUAACCCAGCUUCUGAAUUGUCCAGCUGUACUGUUGUGGUGCCUUCUAGCGUUAGAUGUGUGAUUUAAUCUGCUCAUAUUUCUAACAUAGUUUUUUUUCAUGUCGCGAAAUUCUCAAGUCCGGUAUCUAAGCAACAGAGGGUGUAAUGACCAUUCUCGUGAGAUGGUCGAACUUCUUAUUAACACUUUCAUGGUAGGCUACACCAGAAGAACCCAUUGUAGAACUACUGUUCUCUAGAAAUUUCCUUUUCUAUAAAAUAUUGAUUCUGUAUCAGUGAUAAUAGAAGGAAUUCAUUCAUAUCACGUGUAAUCUAUUAUUUUUUGUGUCUUAUAAUUUUAAGAGUAGUUUGUGUGGAUUAGGUAUCGUUUAAUUGUUUUAAUACUGGUGUUACUUUUGACAUCCAAGUAUUUUGUGACAUCUCUCCAAAUCAACUUGCUACUGGACAAUCUUAUUGAUCUCAGCUUACAGUAUUUUUCAAGGCUGUUCAAUUCUGUACUGAGACUAUUGCAGAAACCAGUUCCGCUAUAUAGUAUAAUCCUUGCCAUUUUUUGUUUUACAUUCUUCACUGUUUAUUUUUUCAUGAUUAUUAUUACUCUAAUACCAACUCGAGUGCCUUCAUACAAUUGAGCUGAAUGUGACUAAUAACUUAUGGAUUCAGCCUGACGCCUCUUUGUUUUGUCCAUCAAGUCCACCUACCUGAAGGUAGCCCUUCUCUACCACAUACCACAGGUGCAUUAGUAGAUGUGUUUGAUAUAGAAAACCCUAUUUGUUCACAAUCUGAAGAAAUGCUCGCAUGGGCUAAUCUCUUUUUUCAACUAAAGCUUCUGGGUCAUAAUAUAUAUGUAUUUGUCUACUAUGGUGUUCUUGGAGAUACAGUCUGAGGUCCAAAGAUGCAAGCUGGCCAUUUUUGUUAGAAACCUGGUCAGAUGAUACAUUGACAUGCCUUGCCGAUAACAAGUGUUGUUUACAGGAUGUUGUAAGAAAAAGAAUGGCAUCUCCAAAUAAUACUAAAUAACUCACAGUAGAGAUGAAAGAUCUUCGUAAGGUUCAUCAUGUCAGUCUGGUAUGCCAUUUUACAGUUCUCAUAGGAUACCUAAUCUAGAUUAUAUCUCAAAACUCCUGUUGUUUCUUAUUUAUUUGGUGACCAGUGUUUUGUUAAAUGUGUGUGUAGUUGAUUGGCUAUGCAGGAAGGAUGACUUGUUCCUGUUUUAUGGGUACUCCGAAAAGUUACAUCUAAAAACCAUCUUCAUGAUCCUCAAAGCAAAAGUGUUCUAUGGCCAAGAAUUCGCUCCUUUGUAUCAGUAUCUUGAUGGUGUUUUUUUUUCUGUUUUGAGGAAGAGAGAACUUCAUUUCAUAUGAUAUGAAAAUUCUUGAAAUCAUCUGGUACAAAAGACUGACACUGUUUCUUUGUACAGGAGCUUGGUGUAACCAGGAACUAACCAAACUAUUGAUUGUUGCAUAAAGAGCUACCACAUGUGCGACACGAAUUAACUCUCUCUUCACCUUGGUGACCUUCAGACUGGACAACGGCUGCACAAUCACUCUCAAAAUUAAAUGGGCCAUGGCACCAGGAGCAGCAAGGUCGAGGCCCUCCCUGAGAGCAUUCAGUUCAGCUUUCCUAGCAUUCAGGCAAUUAGCAAAGCAACAUCGCCUGAGGUGUAGAGUCAGUUCGGGUCAUAGAGAGGCCAGCAGGAGAUCUUCUCAGCUUUGUGGAGGUAGCCCACAUAGGGGCAUCAUUGAGCAGGCUAGCGGCGACCACCAUUGCUCAAAUGCUCCUUCCAGGGAUGCUCAGCAUCCUCCCAACAGAAUAACAAAUCCACAACUCCAACAAUGAGGAGUGAAGAAGAAAAUCAAUACACUGAUGCUCCCUUCGGCGAUGAAGCAGACUCCACACCCUCCAUCGAUUUCUUCAGCAAAGGCCUACAACUCAUCAUACUUUCCUCCGUCCAUGGGGACAAUGCCGCCGAGCACUGAUGAGUCAAACACCAAGCAACAUCAGCACUACCAGUCAUACCAUCCUACUAUGCAAUUUCCUCCAGGCAUGUAUCACCAAAAACAUGUUGUGCUUUAGGUGAAGUAGAACCUGAUGUCUUCUACAUAUCACACAUGUAAGAUGAUGCCAUUAACUAUGUAGUAAGAUGUAAUUAUGUCUUAGUGCUUAUCCAAGGCAAUCCCAUGAACUAUGUAAUUAAGUCUAAUUAUAUAUCACCGCUACUGUCCAUCAUUGCUCAACAA
Molecule: non-coding RNA, 4251 nt
Organism: Lolium perenne
Lineage: Eukaryota; Viridiplantae; Streptophyta; Magnoliopsida; Poales; Poaceae
Source: RefSeq, a predicted model, not a curated record